UUAAUGAGAGUUUGAUCCUGGCUCAGGACGAACGCUGGCGGCGUGCCUAAUACAUGCAAGUAGAACGCUGAGGUUUGGUGUUUACACUAGACUGAUGAGUUGCGAACGGGUGAGUAACGCGUAGGUAACCUGCCUCAUAGCGGGGGAUAACUAUUGGAAACGAUAGCUAAUACCGCAUAAGAGUAAUUAACACAUGUUAGUUAUUUAAAAGGAGCAAUUGCUUCACUGUGAGAUGGACCUGCGUUGUAUUAGCUAGUUGGUGAGGUAAAGGCUCACCAAGGCGACGAUACAUAGCCGACCUGAGAGGGUGAUCGGCCACACUGGGACUGAGACACGGCCCAGACUCCUACGGGAGGCAGCAGUAGGGAAUCUUCGGCAAUGGACGGAAGUCUGACCGAGCAACGCCGCGUGAGUGAAGAAGGUUUUCGGAUCGUAAAGCUCUGUUGUUAGAGAAGAACGUUGGUAGGAGUGGGAAAUCUACGAAGUGACGG
Molecule: ribosomal RNA, 491 nt
Filed under: Streptococcus agalactiae
Lineage: Bacteria; Bacillati; Bacillota; Bacilli; Lactobacillales; Streptococcaceae
Description: bacterial SSU rRNA
Rfam family: Bacterial small subunit ribosomal RNA
Source: RNAcentral